This 1449-nucleotide ribosomal RNA is filed under the name uncultured bacterium. Its description in RNAcentral is "bacterial SSU rRNA". It matches the Rfam family "Bacterial small subunit ribosomal RNA". The record is from RNAcentral.
AGGGUUUGAUCAUGGCUCAGGAUGAACGCUGGCGGCGUGCUUAACACAUGCAAGUCGAACGAACCUUCGGGUUAGUGGCGGACGGGUGAGUAACGCGUGAGAAUCUGCCCUCAGGAGGGGGAUAACGGUUGGAAACGACCGCUAAUACCCCAUAUGCCGAUAGGUGAAAUGAAUUUCGCCUGAGGAUGAGCUCGCGUCUGAUUAGCUAGUUGGUGAGGUAAUGGCUCACCAAGGCUUCGAUCAGUAGCUGGUCUGAGAGGAUGAUAAGCCACACUGGGACUGAGACACGGCCCAGACUCCUACGGGAGGCAGCAGUGGGGAAUUUUCCGCAAUGGGCGAAAGCCUGACGGAGCAACGCCGCGUGAGGGACGAAGGCCUCUGGGCUGUAAACCUCUUUUCUCAAGGAAGAAGAUAUGACGGUACUUGAGGAAUAAGCCACGGCUAAUUCCGUGCCAGCAGCCGCGGUAAUACGGGAGUGGCAAGCGUUAUCCGGAAUUAUUGGGCGUAAAGCGUCCGCAGGCGGCUUAUCAAGUCUGCUGUUAAAGCGUGGAGCUUAACUCCAUCAUGGCAGUGGAAACUGAUAGGCUUGAGUAUGGUAGGGGCAGAGGGAAUUCCCGGUGUAGCGGUGAAAUGCGUAGAUAUCGGGAAGAACACCAGUGGCGAAGGCGCUCUGCUGGGCCAUUACUGACGCUCAUGGACGAAAGCCAGGGGAGCGAAAGGGAUUAGAUACCCCUGUAGUCCUGGCCGUAAACGAUGAACACUAGGUGUCGGGGGAAUCGACCCCUUCGGUGUCGUAGCUAACGCGUUAAGUGUUCCGCCUGGGGAGUACGCACGCAAGUGUGAAACUCAAAGGAAUUGACGGGGGCCCGCACAAGCGGUGGAGUAUGUGGUUUAAUUCGACGCAACGCGAAGAACCUUACCAGGGUUUGACAUCCUGCGAACCUCUUAGAAAUUUGAGGGUGCCUUCGGGAAUGCAGUGACAGGUGGUGCAUGGCUGUCGUCAGCUCGUGUCGUGAGAUGUUGGGUUAAGUCCCGCAACGAGCGCAACCCACGUUUUUAGUUGCCAGCAUUUAGUUGGGCACUCUAGAAAGACCGCCGGUGAUAAACCGGAGGAAGGUGUGGAUGACGUCAAGUCAUCAUGCCCCUUACACCCUGGGCUACACACGUACUACAAUGCUACGGACAAAGGGCAGCAAACUCGCGAGAGCUAGCAAAUCCCAUAAACCGUGGCUCAGUUCAGAUCGUAGGCUGCAACUCGCCUACGUGAAGUAGGAAUCGCUAGUAAUCGCAGGUCAGCAUACUGCGGUGAAUACGUUCCCGGGCCUUGUACACACCGCCCGUCACACCAUGGAAGUUGGCCAUGCCCGAAGUCGUUACUCCAACCCUUGUGGAGGAGGACGCCGAAGGUGGGGCUAAUGACUGGGGUGAAGUCAUAACAAGGUAACCGUA